GCCACAGGGACUUCUGGGCUAAGAUGAAGCUUGGCUCAUAUACCAGCAUGCCAGCCAUUCACAAGUCUCAAGACCCAGAUCUUGUCUCUAGCAUAUAGAAAAGGUGGUGGUGACUCCUCUGAUGCUGUUUACAAAAUCCAGAAGGGCUUCUAUGGGCUUUCCCCUACCUUCUAAACCUCAGAAACUACAACUUCCAUCCUAAUCUUAAAAUCUACCUUUCUCUAAUAUCAAUUAUUCAGGAAAAAUAUAUUUCCCCCAAAAGUGGAAAACUCAAAUUCA
Ictidomys tridecemlineatus (thirteen-lined ground squirrel) is the source of this 279-nucleotide non-coding RNA. The record is from RefSeq and is a predicted model, not a curated record. NCBI's taxonomy places the organism in Eukaryota, Metazoa, Chordata, Mammalia, Rodentia, Sciuridae.